CCUUUUUAUUAACCAUUACUUAUUUUACACAUGCAAGCAUCCGCAUACCCGUGAGAACGCCCUUCACCCCUACUAAGGAAAAGGAGCCGGUAUCAGGCACAAUACUAAGCCCACGACACCUAGCUACGCCACACCCACAAGGGAAUCAGCAGUGAUAAACAUUGAUAAUAAGCGCCAGCUUGAAUCAGUUAAAGUAAAGAGAGCCGGCAAAUUCGGUGCCAGCCGCCGCGGCUACACCGCUAGGCCCAAGUUGAUUGACAUCGGCGUUAAGCGUGAUUAAAGUAAAAUUAAUGAUUAGAGCUAAACUUUAGCCAAGUUGUGACACGCUUGUUAUUAAGAAAUCCAAAACGAAAGUUACUCUAACUAAUCCACUUGAUACCACGACAGUUAAAACACAAACUGGGAUUAGGUACCCCACUAUGUUUAACCGUAAAAUAUAAAUUCACAUUAAAAUCGCCAGGGAAUUACGAGCCCAAGCUUAAAACCCAAAGGACUUGACGGUGUCCCACCCACCUAGAGGAGCCUGUUCUAUAAUCGAUUCUCCCCGAUAAACCUCACCACUUCUAGCUUCUCAGCCUGUAUACCUCCGUCGUAAGCUUACCAUGUGAACGAACCAAGUGAGCCUAAAGGUCCUUCCACCCACACGUCAGGUCAAGGUGCAGCUUAUGAACUGGGAAGAAAUGGGCUACAAUUUCUACCAUAGAACAAACGAAAGACUACAUGAAACGCAGUCAUGAAGGCGGAUUUAGUAGUAAAAAGAGAAUAGAGAGCUCUUUUUAAUAAGGCGCUGGGACGCGUACACACCGCCCGUCACCCUCUUCAAACGC
This 827-nucleotide non-coding RNA is filed under the name Chiasmocleis bassleri (Bassler's humming frog). RNAcentral describes it as "Syncope bassleri (Bassler's humming frog) partial small subunit ribosomal RNA". It matches the Rfam family "Bacterial small subunit ribosomal RNA". Lineage: Eukaryota; Metazoa; Chordata; Amphibia; Anura; Microhylidae. The record is from RNAcentral.